Molecule: ribosomal RNA, 406 nt
Filed under: uncultured bacterium
Lineage: Bacteria
Description: partial 16S ribosomal RNA
Rfam family: Bacterial small subunit ribosomal RNA
Source: RNAcentral
AUUGAACGCUGGCGGCAGGCCUAACACAUGCAAGUCGAACGAGUGGCGGACGGGUGAGUAAUGUCUGGGAAACUGCCUGAUGGAGGGGGAUAACUACUGGAAACGGUAGCUAAUACCGCAUACCAUCAGAUGUGCCCAGAUGGGAUUAGGUAGUUGGUGGGGUACCGGCUCACCAAGGCGACGAUCCCUAGCUGGUCUGAGAGGAUGACCAGCCACCCUGGAACUGAUACACAGUCCAGACGCCUACGGUAGGCAGCAGUGGAGAAUAUUGCACAAUGGGCGCAAUGCGGAUGCAGCCAUGCCGCGUGUAUGAAGAAGGCCGUCGGGUUGUAAAGUACUUUCAGUGGGGAGGCGUUACCCGCAGAAGAAGCACCGGCUAACUCCGUGCCAGCAGCCGCGGUAAUUC